GUUUACAGAGAGACAAGCAGAGCAAUGGUGGGCAGAGAACCGUGCACGAGUUUACGAACGAUAUAAUGUACGUGUGAUGGACAAGUCUAGUAUAGGCAUUGGAAGUGAAGAGACUCAUUGAUUUGUGCAAACAGCCGCAGAAACCAAAUCAUUUUGUAUAUGGAAAACAAAAGGUUUGUUCAAUUUCCAAGCUCUCUACUUAACAAGUGGGGUCAUAUUGACCGUUAAGAUUUAGAUUGGAACUAUCAUGAUAUAGGUUUUAAGAAAGGGAC
Molecule: unclassified non-coding RNA, 272 nt
Filed under: Hevea brasiliensis (rubber tree)
Lineage: Eukaryota; Viridiplantae; Streptophyta; Magnoliopsida; Malpighiales; Euphorbiaceae
Source: RNAcentral